UGAGCAUGAUCAGCUGAGAAUAAGGUAAGAAUAAAAAUAUAUAUAUAUUUGCAUAAAAAUCAAGUGCUUAUCUGAUUUUGUUGCUAUAUGGGGGCAUGUUGAUGAUGAUCUCAGCUAAAAUAGCUUACAGGAGUUAGGGUUCUCCAUCCCACAAAAACCUUUGUCUUGACUAGAAAUGAUAUAUAUAUAUAUUUUUUAAAUACACUAAUUAUUUUAUGGACAACAUUCUUAUAAGUGUCCUGGAAUUAAAUAGCUCGAGAUCAUUGGAAGUGGGGAAAAAAAAUAAUGAUCUCUGAGAAAACUUUGAUAUCUGCAAAGUCAUGGUGGGAACAUGUCACAUUGUCACUGCCAUUGUUGUGUUGGCUUUAGCAUUCAAUCA
Molecule: unclassified non-coding RNA, 379 nt
Filed under: Hevea brasiliensis (rubber tree)
Lineage: Eukaryota; Viridiplantae; Streptophyta; Magnoliopsida; Malpighiales; Euphorbiaceae
Source: RNAcentral